Molecule: unclassified non-coding RNA, 335 nt
Filed under: soil metagenome
Description: partial contains 5.8S ribosomal RNA, internal transcribed spacer 2, and large subunit ribosomal RNA
Rfam family: 5.8S ribosomal RNA (bases 1-120)
Source: RNAcentral
GAUGAAGAACGUAGCGAAAUGCGAUAAGUAGUGUGAAUUGCAGAAUUCAGUGAAUCAUCGAAUAUUUGAACGCACAUUGCGCCCCUUGGUAUUCCAUGGGGCAUGCCUGUUCGAGCGUCAUUUGUACCUUCAAGCACUGCUUGGUGUUGGGUGUUUGUCUCGCCUCUGCGUGUAGACUCGCCUUAAAACAAUUGGCAGCCGGCGUAUUGAUUUCGGAGCGCAGUACAUCUCGCGCUUUGCACUCAUAACGACGACGUCCAAAAGUACAUUUUUACACUCUUGACCUCGGAUCAGGUAGGGAUACCCGCUGAACUUAAGCAUAUCAAUAAGCGGGA